Molecule: transfer RNA, 58 nt
Filed under: Macropostrongyloides dissimilis
Lineage: Eukaryota; Metazoa; Nematoda; Chromadorea; Rhabditida; Strongylidae
Description: tRNA-Phe
Source: RNAcentral
AAUCUCAUUAGUUUAAUUUUUAAAAUAUAACUCUGAAGAAGUUAAGAUGUAUGAGAUA